CUAUAACAGAUUGAACUAACAGCUCAAAAAAUAUUCAAUUAAAAUGUUUUCAAAGAUGGUGAUUUUAGCCGUCGCGUUGGUGAUGUUUGUGCAUAUCCAAGCAUACGAGCAUGCGUUUUCAUCGAAUCAUAUAACACGUCACGACGGACAUCAUCAUGAAGUUUCCCAUGGACAUGGUCAUCAUCACGACUACUAUACUCAUCCCAAGUACGAGUUUGAGUACAAAGUUGAAGACCACCACACGGGCGAUAUCAAGUCGCAGCACGAGCACCGCGACGGCGAUGUUGUGAAAGGAGGCUAUUCUCUGCAUCAACCCGAUGGCUCACACAGACAUCUACAUUAUCAUGCUGAUGAUCAUUCAGGUUUCCACGCCGAUGUGAAAUACAGCACUCAUCAUGAACAUCAUCACUGAUUGUUGUUGUGCUUUAUUUUGUCAGUCGCUGUGAUGGCUAUUGUUAAUGCGUAUGAUCACGCGUAUUCAUCCAAUCAUAUUUCUCGUCAUGACGGACAUCACCACGAAGUAGACCAUGGACAUGGCCAUCAUCAUGAUUAUUACACUCAUCCUAAAUACGAGUUCGAAUACAAAAUAGAGGAUCACCACACGGGCGACAUCAAAUCGCAGCACGAGCACCGCGACGGCGAUGUUGUGAAGGGAGGCUAUUCUUUCCAUCAGCCUGACGGCUCCGUCAGACAUGUUGAAUAUCACGGUGACGACCACAGCGGUUUCCACGCCGAUGUGAAAUACGACACCCACCACAUUGUGCCUCAUCAUCAUCAUCAUGAUCACUACUAAGUCGUGUGAAUUAAAGCGAUAUGUCUUUUGUCAAUUUGUUCUGUUGCUUAUAAAAUGUGCAAGUAAUAAAUACAUGUUAAUAACUC
Molecule: RNA transcript, 879 nt
Organism: Papilio xuthus (Asian swallowtail)
Lineage: Eukaryota; Metazoa; Arthropoda; Insecta; Lepidoptera; Papilionidae
Gene name: histidine-rich glycoprotein-like
Exons: 7
Source: RefSeq, a predicted model, not a curated record